Molecule: ribosomal RNA, 715 nt
Filed under: uncultured bacterium
Lineage: Bacteria
Description: bacterial SSU rRNA
Rfam family: Bacterial small subunit ribosomal RNA
Source: RNAcentral
AGAGUUUGAUCCUGGCUCAGGACGAACGCUGGCGGCGUGCCUAAUACAUGCAAGUCGAGCGAGCUUGCCUAGAUGAUUUUAGUGCUUGCACUAAAUGAAACUAGAUACAAGCUAGCGGCGGACGGGUGAGUAACACGUGGGUAACCUGCCCAAGAGACUGGGAUAACACCUGGAAACAGAUGCUAAUACCGGAUAACAACACUAGACGCAUGUCUAGAGUUUAAAAGAUGGUUCUGCUAUCACUCUUGGAUGGACCUGCGGUGCAUUAGCUAGUUGGUAAGGUAACGGCUUACCAAGGCAAUGAUGCAUAGCCGAGUUGAGAGACUGAUCGGCCACAUUGGGACUGAGACACGGCCCAAACUCCUACGGGAGACAGCAGUUAGGAAUAUUCGUCAAUGGGGGAAACCCUGAACGAGCAAUGCCGCGUGAACGAUGACGGUCCUCUGGAUUGUAAAGUUCUGUUGUUUGGGAAGAACGGCUCUAAUAGGAAAUGAUUAGAGAUUGACUGUACCAUUCAAGAAAGCCCACGGCUAACUACGUGCCAGCAGCCGCGGUAAUACGUAGGUGGCGAGCGUUAUCCGGAUUUAUUGGGCGUACAGCGUCCGCAGCCGGUUUAUUAAGUAUAGAAUAAAACUUCGGGGCUCAACCCCGUCUCGUUCUAUAAACUGAUAGACUAGAGUGUGGUAGAGGCAAGUGGAAUUUCUAGUGUAGCGGU